AUACGAAAGGUGCAAGCGUUGUUCGGAUUUACUGGGCGUAAAGAGAGUGUAGGUUGUUUAUUAAGUCGGAUGUGAAAUCGCGGGGCUCAACCUCGGAACUGCAUUCGAUACUGGUAGACUAGAGUUCGGGAGGGGUAAGCGGAAUUCCGUGUGUAGCAGUGAAAUGCGUAGAUAUACGGAGGAACACCUGAGGCGAAGGCGGCUUACUGGACCGACACUGACACUGAGACUCGAAAGCGUGGGUAGCAAACAGGAUUAGAUACCCCGGUAGUCC
RNAcentral lists this ribosomal RNA (274 nucleotides) under uncultured bacterium. RNAcentral describes it as "partial 16S ribosomal RNA". It matches the Rfam family "Bacterial small subunit ribosomal RNA", at positions 523 to 796 of the family's 1533-position model. The record is from RNAcentral.